This 857-nucleotide ribosomal RNA is filed under the name uncultured organism. RNAcentral's name for it is "bacterial SSU rRNA". It matches the Rfam family "Bacterial small subunit ribosomal RNA", at positions 527 to 1382 of the family's 1533-position model. The record is from RNAcentral.
GGAGGGUACAAGCGUUAAUCGGAAUUACUGGGCGUAAAGCGCGCGUAGGCGGUUAAGUAAGUUGGAUGUGAAAGCCCUGGGCUCAACCUAGGAACUGCAUUCAAAACUAUUUAACUAGAGUACGAGAGAGGAGAGUAGAAUUUCUGGUGUAGCGGUGAAAUGCGUAGAUAUCAGAAGGAAUACCAAUGGCGAAGGCAGCUCUCUGGAUCGUCACUGACGCUAAGGUGCGAAAGCGUGGGUAGCAAACAGGAUUAGAUACCCUGGUAGUCCACGCCGUAAACGAUGAGAACUAGCCGUUGGGGAGAAUUAACUCUCCAGUGGCACAGCUAACGCAUUAAGUUCUCCGCCUGGGGACUACGGCCGCAAGGCUAAAACUCAAAUGAAUUGACGGGGGCCCGCACAAGCGGUGGAUCAUGUGGUUUAAUUCGAUGCAACGCGAAGAACCUUACCUACCCUUGAAAUCCAGCGAAGUUCCUAGAGAUAGGAAUGUGCCUUCGGGAACGCUGUGACAGGUGUUGCAUGGCUGUCGUCAGCUCGUGUCGUGAGAUGUAUGGUUAAGUCCAGUAACGAGCGCAACCCCUAUCCUUAUUUGCCAGCGCAUAAUGGCGGGAACUAUAAGGAGACUGCCGGUCAUAAACCGGAGGAAGGCGGGGACGACGUCAAGUCAUCAUGGCCCUUAUGGGUAGGGCUACACACGUGAUACAAUGGGUGGUACAGAGGGUCGCCAAAGCGCGAGCUGGAGCCAAACCCUUAAAACCAUUCUUAGUCCGGAUUGGAGUCUGCAACUCGACUCCAUGAAGUUGGAAUCGCUAGUAAUCGCGAAUCAGAAUGUCGCGGUGAAUACGUUCUCGGGCCUU